RNAcentral lists this transfer RNA (68 nucleotides) under Pristimantis aff. cruentus AJC 0580. RNAcentral's name for it is "tRNA-Ala". The record is from RNAcentral. Lineage: Eukaryota; Metazoa; Chordata; Amphibia; Anura; Strabomantidae.
UAAAACCUGCAGGACAUUAACCCACAUCUUUUGAAUGCAACUCAAACUCUUUAAUUAAGAUAAAGUUU